This 580-nucleotide ribosomal RNA is filed under the name uncultured beta proteobacterium. RNAcentral describes it as "bacterial SSU rRNA". It matches the Rfam family "Bacterial small subunit ribosomal RNA", at positions 8 to 581 of the family's 1533-position model. The record is from RNAcentral. Lineage: Bacteria; Pseudomonadati; Pseudomonadota; Betaproteobacteria.
AGAGUUUGAUCCUGGCUCAGAUUGAACGCUGGCGGCAUGCCUUACACAUGCAAGUCGAACGGCAGCACGGGAGCUUGCUCCUGGUGGCGAGUGGCGAACGGGUGAGUAAUAUAUCGGAACGUACCCUAGAGUGGGGGAUAACGCAGCGAAAGUUGCGCUAAUACCGCAUACGAUCUACGGAUGAAAGUGGGGGAUCGCAAGACCUCAUGCUCAUGGAGCGGCCGAUAUCUGAUUAGCUAGUUGGUAGGGUAAAAGCCUACCAAGGCUUCGAUCAGUAGCUGGUCUGAGAGGACGACCAGCCACACUGGAACUGAGACACGGUCCAGACUCCUACGGGAGGCAGCAGUGGGGAAUUUUGGACAAUGGGCGCAAGCCUGAUCCAGCAAUGCCGCGUGAGUGAAGAAGGCCUUCGGGUUGUAAAGCUCUUUUGUCAGGGAAGAAACGGUUCUGGUUAAUACCUGGGGCUAAUGACGGUACCUGAAGAAUAAGCACCGGCUAACUACGUGCCAGCAGCCGCGGUAAUACGUAGGGUGCAAGCGUUAAUCGGAAUUACUGGGCGUAAAGCGUGCGCAGGCGGUUA